RNAcentral lists this ribosomal RNA (497 nucleotides) under uncultured bacterium. RNAcentral's name for it is "partial 16S ribosomal RNA". It matches the Rfam family "Bacterial small subunit ribosomal RNA", at positions 28 to 507 of the family's 1533-position model. The record is from RNAcentral.
GACGAACGCUGGCGGCGUGCCUAAUACAUGCAAGUAGAACGCUGAAGGAAGGAGCUUGCUCUUUCUGGAUGAGUUGCGAACGGGUGAGUAACGCGUAGGUAACCUGCCUGGUAGCGGGGGAUAACUAUUGGAAACGAUAGCUAAUACCGCAUAAAAUUGAUUAUUGCAUGAUAGUCAAUUAAAAGGUGCAACUGCACCACUACCAGAUGGACCUGCGUUGUAUUAGCUAGUUGGUGGGGUAACGGCUCACCAAGGCGACGAUACAUAGCCGACCUGAGAGGGUGAUCGGCCACACUGGGACUGAGACACGGCCCAGACUCCUACGGGAGGCAGCAGUAGGGAAUCUUCGGCAAUAGACGGAAGUCUGACCGAGCAACGCCGCGUGAGUGAAGAAGGUUUUCGGAUCGUAAAGCUCUGUUGUAAGAGAAGAACGAGUGUGAGAGUGGAAAGUUCACACUGUGACGGUAUCUUACCAGAAGGGGACGGCUAACUACGUG